This 252-nucleotide ribosomal RNA is filed under the name uncultured bacterium. Its description in RNAcentral is "partial 16S ribosomal RNA". It matches the Rfam family "Bacterial small subunit ribosomal RNA", at positions 524 to 776 of the family's 1533-position model. The record is from RNAcentral.
UACGUAGGGUGCAAGCGUUGUCCGGAAUUAUUGGGCGUAAAGAGCUCGUAGGCGGUUUGUCGCGUCUGCUGUGAAAACUCGGGGCUUAACUCCGGGCCUGCAGUGGGUACGGGCAGACUAGAGUGCGGUAGGGGAGACUGGAAUUCCUGGUGUAGCGGUGAAAUGCGCAGAUAUCAGGAAGAACACCAAUGGCGAAAGCAGCUUCUGGGACGGUACUGACGCUGAGACGCGAAAGCGUGGGGAGCGAACAGG